Molecule: long non-coding RNA, 1491 nt
Filed under: Oryza brachyantha (malo sina)
Lineage: Eukaryota; Viridiplantae; Streptophyta; Magnoliopsida; Poales; Poaceae
Description: long non-coding RNA (OBRA_LNC000326)
Source: RNAcentral
AUACGUCCGCUACAUAGUUAUGUUAACGUACGUACCAAGCCUCCGUUUCCUCGAUCCAUCACAAUGCCGUAUAUAUAACGAACAGCUAGCUGCCGCUACAGUGGAAUGCAUGAGUGAUCGAUUAUAUAUACCAAAAUUAUUUCUAACACGCAAAAGCUAGCAAACUUAAUUUUGAAGCCUCAGUUAAAAGUUCAUUCACACAAUUAAUUAACCGCGCCAUAUAUACGAGCGAUUAAUUAGCUACUGAAGAGGAGAAAUUAAUGAUGCCAGCAUUCAUCAAAUUAAGUUGUGGCCAGUUUCUGCCUGAACAAUGAAUGACCAAUAAUAUUGCAUGGUUAGCUUCACCGUCGCACUGUACAUAUAUGCCAAGGCAAGGUAACUAGACAUAUAUAUAUCCUUCGAGAGAUCGAUCCAGCAAAUACAGUGGAUUUGUCUGCCGAGAUAAUGUACAGACGAAGCACCAGUAUCUUAUCUACUGCCUCUUUCGCUUCUCCUACCAACUGCCGAGAUAUGUUUGUGAGUAUCGUUAUCCAAUCAAUCGUCCCAUAUUCAAAUAUGUAUCUAUUCUAUUCCUACAUACGUCUUAGUUGAUACCAUCUCCUUAUUUAACAAGCGGUAUUCAAGUUAUUAUUUCUUCUCGAGAUAAUAUAUAUAUGUCCGAACGUGAAAAGCACAAGUUAACCAUGGUAGCAGCAGCAAGCUGGUGGUCUUGGUUAUUACAGGUGGACAUGUGUCCAGAAUGUGCGAAUGGCCGGAACAUUGCUGGUGCUGCUGGUUACUCCAUUCAAUUCAGAGAGUGUAAUCCAGUCGACGGUCGUCGUGGCGCUUCUUACACAUGCGUAUCUGAUUUUUUUUUUAUUCUUAUGCUUAUAAGCAAAAAUUUAUAUUUUAAUAAAUAAUAAAUUUAUAAUUGAUUUUGGAACUUAUUUAUUAUAUUUUAUUUUCUAGUACUUCUUUUAUAUCACUAUAAACAUGCUUAUAAAUAUUUUAUUUAUAUAUUAUUUUUUGUGUGUAAAUAUGAUGUUUGUCUAUUUCUUAAAAAUAACUAAAAAUGAACCCAAGGUCGCGAUGCGAUCACCGAUCGAAUGCGGACGCUGUCUGCUAUCAAUCUCGGAGGUAGCUAGCUAACCGACGAAGAAGAAGCGAAUCAAUUAUGCAUAUGCAAAUGUUGCCACUUGGCAUAACAAGAUCGAACGGCCGGCGAUGUAGAUCCAUCGUUCGCAAUAUUUUUUUUUUCUGAAAUUAGCUGAGUACUAAGUUAUUAGCGGUUACUAAUUGAGCAGAAAUCGAGAGAGAGAGAGAGAGAGCUAGUAUUAUAUUUUUAGAACAAAUGUGGAUAAUGGGUAGCAGUUGGAAAUAAAUGGUGUUAGGUUAUGUUGUUUUCAGCCUAACGUGAGAACAUGUGCCUAUGCUUAGGCCACAUUUGUCAAAUUUCAUUUCAUUUGCUUGUAGAGAGAUCAGAGAUGACCAUGGGCAACGAAGUUAAUUAAG